GUGCUGUGUGGUGUUAAUGUUGUUGCCAAUCAUCAGACUAAAUCUGAGGUGUCUACAGUUGCUUGGCUUGAGUGGGAGUCACUGGCUUGUUUUCCUUGAGCAAACCACUUACUGUGGGGGACACGGGGGUAUGAAUAAAGCCGGUCAAGAGUCUGCAGCGGGAGAUGGCAGCUGCACCGUCAGCCGUUUUACCUCGCGCCGAUGCGUUCGAACAGACGACGCCGGGGUAUGAGGGUAAUUUUUCAUUUGAUUUGAGAAUUCCACACUCGGAUCAGUGCGCACAGGCGUUACAGUGUCCACCUAGCCAGCAGAAACUAAACCUGUGAACCGUGUACCAGUUUACUCAGACAGACAGCAAGGUCAGAGGAACUGGACUCGCUCACAGCAGCUCACUCUGCAAGGCCUUCGAAACAAGCAAAUCCUUUUGUGCCAAAGUAGAUGAGAUCAGGUGUUUUCCCAUCAUUCCUCGUGUGCUGCUUUGACGUGAACAUUAUCGGGAACAUGGCUGUCACGGUGUGGGCACGCCCCGGAGAGGACGUUACCCAAGACUUACCUGCCUGCCCACUCACCACCUUCACACCAUUCACCCUUCUGAAAGCCAGCCUGCCCUCCAAAGACCCCUGGAGCCUCCAAAGCUCCCGGUUGUGUCGCUGCUGUCAAAACAAAGUCUCAGUUUUCAGAUUUGUUCCUUAUUGAGAACUGGCUGUUUUUAAUAAAACUUUUAAACUACCAA
Molecule: long non-coding RNA, 733 nt
Organism: Oreochromis niloticus (Nile tilapia)
Lineage: Eukaryota; Metazoa; Chordata; Actinopteri; Cichliformes; Cichlidae
Exons: 3
Source: RefSeq, a predicted model, not a curated record